GAUGAACGCUGGCGGCGUGCCUAAUACAUGCAAGUCGAGCGAACAGACGAGGAGCUUGCUCCUCUGACGUUAGCGGCGGACGGGUGAGUAACACGUGGAUAACCUACCUAUAAGACUGGGAUAACUUCGGGAAACCGGAGCUAAUACCGGAUAAUAUAUUGAACCGCAUGGUUCAAUAGUGAAAGACGGUUUUGCUGUCACUUAUAGAUGGAUCCGCGCCGCAUUAGCUAGUUGGUAAGGUAACGGCUUACCAAGGCGACGAUGCGUAGCCGACCUGAGGGGGUGAUCGGCCACACGGAAGCGAGGACACGGUCCAAACUCCUACGGGAGGCACCGGUAGGAAUUCUACGGGAGGGGGCGAAGGCCUAACGGGCCAACGCGGCGGAAGUGUGAAGGGGCUUCGGAUCGUAAAACAUUGUUGUUGGGGAAUAACAAUGUGUAAGUAACUAUGCACGUCUUGACGGUACCUAAUCAGAAAGCCACGGCUAACUACGUG
RNAcentral lists this ribosomal RNA (496 nucleotides) under uncultured bacterium. Its description in RNAcentral is "partial 16S ribosomal RNA". It matches the Rfam family "Bacterial small subunit ribosomal RNA", at positions 28 to 507 of the family's 1533-position model. The record is from RNAcentral.